UGCAAGUCGAACGGUGAAGCCCCUUCGGGGGUGGAUCAGUGGCGAACGGGUGAGUAACACGUGAGCAACCUGCCCCCUACUUCGGGAUAAGCCUUGGAAACGGGGUCUAAUACCGGAUAUGAACACUUGCCGCAUGGUGGGUGUUGGAAAGUUUUUCGGUGGGGGAUGGGCUCGCGGCCUAUCAGCUUGUUGGUGGGGUAAUGGCCUACCAAGGCGUCGACGGGUAGCCGGCCUGAGAGGGCGACCGGCCACACUGGGACUGAGACACGGCCCAGACUCCUACGGGAGGCAGCAGUGGGGAAUAUUGCACAAUGGGCGAAAGCCUGAUGCAGCGACGCCACGUGAGGGAUGACGGCCUUCGGGUUGUAAACCUCUUUCAGCAGGGAAGAAGCGAGAGUGACGGUACCUGCAGAAGAAGCGCCGGCUAACUACGUGCCAGCAGCCGCGGUAAUACGUAGGGCGCAAGCGUUGUCCGGAAUUAUUGGGCGUAAAGAGCUCGUAGGCGGUCUGUCGCGUCUGGUGUGAAAUCCCAUGGCUCAACUGUGGGCUUGCAUCGGGUACGGGCAGACUAGAGUGCUGUAGGGGAGACUGGAAUUCCUGGUGUAGCGGUGGAAUGCGCAGAUAUCAGGAGGAACACCGAUGGCGAAGGCAGGUCUCUGGGCAGUUACUGACGCUGAG
Molecule: ribosomal RNA, 678 nt
Filed under: Promicromonospora sp. YIM 63674
Lineage: Bacteria; Bacillati; Actinomycetota; Actinomycetes; Micrococcales; Promicromonosporaceae
Description: bacterial SSU rRNA
Rfam family: Bacterial small subunit ribosomal RNA
Source: RNAcentral